RNAcentral lists this ribosomal RNA (489 nucleotides) under uncultured bacterium. RNAcentral describes it as "partial 16S ribosomal RNA". It matches the Rfam family "Bacterial small subunit ribosomal RNA", at positions 28 to 507 of the family's 1533-position model. The record is from RNAcentral.
GAUGAACGCUAGCGGCAGGCUUAAUACAUGCAAGUCGUGGGGCAGCAGGACUGUAGCACUACAGUUGCUGGCGACGGGCAAACGGGUGCGGAACACGUACGCAACUUACCCUGAACUGGGGGAUAGCGCGGGGAAACCCGGAUUAAUACCCCGUAAUAUAAUGGAGUGGCAUCACUUUAUUAUUAAAGCUCCGGCGGUUCGGGAUGGGCGUGCGGCUGAUUAGGUAGUUGGUUGAGGUAACGGCUCACCAAGCCUACGAUCAGUAACUGGUGUGAGAGCACGGCCAGUCACACGGGGACUGAGGCACGGGCCCGACACGUACGGGAGGCAGCAGUAAGGAAGAUUGGGCAAUGGAGGCAACUCUGACCCAGCCAUGCCGCGUGGAGGAGGCAGGCCCUCUGGGUUGUAAACUUCUUUUAAAGGGGACGAAACCUGUGUAUUCGUACGCAGUUGACGGUACCCGAGGAAUAAGCACCGGCUAACUCCGUG